Molecule: ribosomal RNA, 42 nt
Filed under: Pestalotiopsis kunmingensis
Lineage: Eukaryota; Fungi; Ascomycota; Sordariomycetes; Amphisphaeriales; Sporocadaceae
Description: partial 28S ribosomal RNA
Source: RNAcentral
GUGGCCUCGGAUAAGUAGGAAUACCCGCUGACUUAGCAUAUA